RNAcentral lists this long non-coding RNA (1895 nucleotides) under Equus asinus (donkey). Its description in RNAcentral is "lncRNA (ENSEASG00005024174.1)". The record is from RNAcentral. Lineage: Eukaryota; Metazoa; Chordata; Mammalia; Perissodactyla; Equidae.
CUGCACUGCUCGCAGCGCGUCUCCCGCGGCCUCCCAGUUCUUGCCUAUUUUGGAAGAGAGCCGCAGCCCUUCUGCUGAGGCGCGCGCGCUGGCGCCUUUUAAAGGCAACCGGCGGAGUGGCGGCUCCGCCAGAGCCCGGGAGCUGCCCCCGCCCCCGGGCCGCGAGCCCCAUACGGGGCCUGGACCCGGGAGGCCCCGUCGCCGCACCCUAGGACCCCCUAUCUUAGCGCCCUCCACCCACUUUGGGGAAAUUUCAACCAUGGAGAAAGGAGGUUUGCCCUUGUCCCUCCCCCGACCCCCCGCCCCGACAGGGGAGACUCUUCUGCCAUAGGAGCCUUGGAAGGGAACAAGAUGCCAGGCCUAGCACGUUUGACCCUCUCUGGACAAGGCCACAGGGCGAAAACAGCAGGUGAGGACUUCACUGCCCGCGGGGCCACCCUGGGUCUCUGGAGACCCGCACCGCCUCCAACCUCCUACCUUAGCCUUUUUCUGGGUGGGCACAGCCUGAGGUCAGGUUAGGAUCUUAGUUGGAAGGCUCCUUAGCAGUUUCUCCAACCCCCUCGCUAAACUGAAAGGAAAACUGAGGCCCAGAGAAGAGUAGUGACUUGACCAGGGUCACAUGACAUGUUCCUGGAGAGCGUGGGCCAGAGCCCAAGGAUGCUGACUUCCUAGCCAGAGGUCAGUCCCUUGUUCCUUAACGUUGAGAAUAACUGGCACAGCGUGGCAGGCCAUGGUCCCUGACUUGCACCCGGGAGAGGGAACAGACAGCUCCUCUUCCCACCGUGGCACCAGCUGCUGCUUCGUCCCCAGCGGAGUCGAGACCUGGGUGGGCUCUCCUGGGUUGAUGAUCACUCUGGACAACCUUCUGGAUCCCAGACUCCACAACCAACCAACCAGGUUGCUGCUUGCAGACGUCUGCUUCCAUCAAAGGCUUCCUGCAGCCCACCAGCUCUCUGGAACUUUCUGGAACCAAACCUUUUCCAGACUGCUUACAAACGCCAGUCCUUCUGGGUGGAGGUUUGGCUGCAGGCUCUGGCAGGGCUCCCCAGAGCCAUGUGGACCCAGCGCUUUGGACUCCCCUGCCCAAUCCUGAUGGCACCAGCACUCCCCAUGCAAGCACUUUCAGGGGUGUUUGACCAAGGUGCACUGAGGACAGCCGUGAAGUACUUGACCAUGCCCAAGGAGCUGCGUAGGUUCCAGACAUCUCUGGACCCCUGCUCUAGAUCAGGGCUGGGGACAAGAGGUGGAUCCGAUCCAGCCCAGCUGUGGGCACCAAGUCUGGCAAAGGAGAGAGGUUCGUGCUCUGGAGCAGUUAGUCCUAGAGCUGUGAACGGCUUUUCCCAGGGGCAUCCAUUGCCAGGGCCAAGACUUCAAUGCACAGGAGGGGAAACUGAGGCUUCCCCCCAAGAGACAUUAUUUGCCAAGGUUACACAGCAAGUCAAUGCGUUGUUGAAACUAGGACUCAGAACCCUGCCUCCUGGCCCACUCUCUCUGCACCUUGAUCCCAGAGGCCAGCCUUUGAGAAGUGCACAAGGUCACUGCACUGUGGUCCAGGGACCUGAUUCAGGGUCCACCUCCACUAAAUGCUGGCUGUGUCGCUGGGGCCACUCUAUUCUCUGCGCCAGGCCACAGUCACUCCAGGCGGAUGAUCUCUGAGAGCCCCCCCACCCGCUCCAACUACCAUGGCCAACACAACUUUCCUGGAGAUUAUUUCAGAACCAUGGACAGCAGUCAGCGACACAUUCCUUCACUGUGGAUCUGCUCGGCUUGCUGGAGUUCAGCUGGACCCAACCCGUAGACACAUCUUCUCAUGGAGAAGGACGCUAAUAAUGUCUCCCAGCCAGGGCUAAGGGAUCAGUGGGUGAAUAAAAAAAGAACACUGUCCUGGAUUUUCA